This 451-nucleotide ribosomal RNA is filed under the name uncultured bacterium. RNAcentral describes it as "partial 16S ribosomal RNA". It matches the Rfam family "Bacterial small subunit ribosomal RNA", at positions 29 to 523 of the family's 1533-position model. The record is from RNAcentral.
AACGAACGCUGGCGGCAGGCCUAAUACAUGCAAGUCGAACGGAUGUAGCAAUACAUUAGUGGCGCACGGGUGCCUAACGCGUGGGAACAUACCCUUGAGUAAGGAAUAAUGUCUGGAAACGGACACUAAUACCUUAUAAUGACUUCGGUCCAAAGAUUCAUCGCUCAAGGAUUGGCCCGCGUCUGAUUAGCUAGUUGGUGAGGUAGCGGCUCACCAAGGCGACGAUCAGUAGCUGGUCUGAGAGGAUGAUCAGCCACACUGGGACUGAGACACGGCCCAGACUCCUACGGGAGGCAGCAGUAAGGAAUAUUGGACAAUGGGGGAAACCCUGAUCCAGCCAUGCCGCGUGAGUGAAGAAGGCCUUAGGGUCGUAAAGCUCUUUCAAUAGUGAAGAUAAUGACGGUAGCUAUAGGAGAAGCCCCGGCUAAAUUCGUGCCAGCCGCCGCGGUAA